Molecule: long non-coding RNA, 200 nt
Filed under: Linum usitatissimum (flax)
Lineage: Eukaryota; Viridiplantae; Streptophyta; Magnoliopsida; Malpighiales; Linaceae
Description: long non-coding RNA (LUSI_LNC005932)
Source: RNAcentral
AACUGAACGGUGGUUGGGGAAAACUAAGGGAACACUCGAAGAACAUAAAAGGCCAAGUUCUAUUGAUAAGAUGAUUAAUUGUGUAUUCAAUGAAUCGUAAGUCGUAAGUCGUAACAUAUGUAGCAAACUGAAUCAAAUAAACACUUAUAUAUUGAUCUAAUUAUAUCAAAUAUAUAGAUGGUUAAUUUGUAUGUUACAAU